UGGGGAAUAUUGGACAAUGGGCGCAAGCCUGAUCCAGCAAUGCCGCGUGAGUGAUGAAGGCCUUAGGGUUGUAAAGCUCUUUCGCACGUGACGAUUAUGACGGUAACGUGAGAAGAAGCCCCGGCUAACUUCGUGCCAGCAGCCGCGGUAAUACGAAGGGGGCUAGCGUUGUUCGGAAUUACUGGGCGUAAAGGGCGCGUAGGCGGCCCGAUCAGUCAGAAGUGAAAGCCCCGGGCUCAACCUGGGAACCGCUUUUGAUACUGUCGAGCUUGAGUUCCGGAGAGGAUGGUGGAAUUCCCAGUGUAGAGGUGAAAUUCGUAGAUAUUGGGAAGAACACCGGUGGCGAAGGCGGCCAUCUGGACGGACACUGACGCUGAGGCGCGAAAGCGUGGGGAGCAAACAGG
Molecule: ribosomal RNA, 404 nt
Filed under: uncultured bacterium
Lineage: Bacteria
Description: bacterial SSU rRNA
Rfam family: Bacterial small subunit ribosomal RNA
Source: RNAcentral